Molecule: ribosomal RNA, 541 nt
Filed under: uncultured Gallionellaceae bacterium
Lineage: Bacteria; Pseudomonadati; Pseudomonadota; Betaproteobacteria; Nitrosomonadales; Gallionellaceae
Description: bacterial SSU rRNA
Rfam family: Bacterial small subunit ribosomal RNA
Source: RNAcentral
AGUGGGGGAUAACGUAGCGAAAGUUACGCUAAUACCGCAUAUGCCCUGAGGGGGAAAGGAGGGGAUCGUAAGACCUUUCGCUUUCGGAGUGGCCGAUAUCAGAUUAGCUAGUUGGUGGGGUAAAGGCCCACCAAGGCGACGAUCUGUAGCGGGUCUGAGAGGAUGAUCCGCCACACUGGGACUGAGACACGGCCCAGACUCCUACGGGAGGCAGCAGUGGGGAAUUUUGGACAAUGGGGGCAACCCUGAUCCAGCCAUGCCGCGUGAGUGAAGAAGGCCUUCGGGUUGUAAAGCUCUUUCGGACGGAAAGAAAUCCUAUUCGCUAAUACCGGGUGGGGAUGACGGUACCGUAAGAAGAAGCACCGGCUAACUACGUGCCAGCAGCCGCGGUAAUACGUAGGGUGCGAGCGUUAAUCGGAAUUACUGGGCGUAAAGCGUGCGCAGGCGGUUUUGUAAGACAGAUGUGAAAUCCCCGGGCUUAACCUGGGAACUGCAUUUGUGACUGCAAGGCUGGAGUGCGGCAGAGGGGGGUAGAAUUCCA